Molecule: non-coding RNA, 46 nt
Filed under: Schistosoma mattheei
Lineage: Eukaryota; Metazoa; Platyhelminthes; Trematoda; Strigeidida; Schistosomatidae
Source: RNAcentral
GCACUGCUGAGGAGUCCCAUACCAGGACGAAACGGCCGUCUAGUAC